AGAGUUUGAUCAUGGCUCAGAUUGAACGCUGGCGGCAGGCUUAACACAUGCAAGUCGAGCGGGGGAAGGUAGCUUGCUACCGGACCUAGCGGCGGACGGGUGAGUAAUGCUUAGGAAUCUGCCUAUUAGUGGGGGACAACAUCUCGAAAGGGAUGCUAAUACCGCAUACGUCCUACGGGAGAAAGCAGGGGAUCUUCGGACCUUGCGCUAAUAGAUGAGCCUAAGUCGGAUUAGCUAGUUGGUGGGGUAAAGGCCUACCAAGGCGACGACCUGUAGCGGGUCUGAGAGGAUGAUCCGCCACACUGGGACUGAGACACGGCCCAGGCUCCUACGGGAGGCAGCAGUGGGGAAUAUUGGACAAUGGGGGGAACCCUGAUCCAGCCAUGCCGCGUGUGUGAAGAAGGCCUCAUGGUUGUAAAGCACUUUAAGCGAGGAGGAGGCUACUUUAGUUAAUACCUAGAGAUAGUGGACGUUACUCGCAGAAUAAGCACCGGCUAACUCUGUGCCAGCAGCCGCGGUAAUACAGAGGGUGCGAGCGUUAAUCGGAUUUACUGGGCGUAAAGCGUGCGUAGGCGGCUUAUUAAGUCGGAUGUGAAAUCCCCGAGCUUAACUUGGGAAUUGCAUUCGAUACUGGUGAGCUAGAGUAUGGGAGAGGAUGGUAGAAUUCCAGGUGUAGCGGUGAAAUGCGUAGAGAUCUGGAGGAAUACCGAUGGCGAAGGCAGCCAUCUGGCCUAAUACUGACGCUGAGGUACGAAAGCAUGGGGAGCAAACAGGAUUAGAUACCGUGGUAGUCCAUGCCGUAAACGAUGUCUACUAGCCGUUGGGGCCUUUGAGGCUUUAGUGGCGCAGCUAACGCGAUAAGUAGACCGCCUGGGGAGUACGGUCGCAAGACUAAAACUCAAAUGAAUUGACGGGGGCCCGCACAAGCGGUGGAGCAUGUGGUUUAAUUCGAUGCAACGCGAAGAACCUUACCUGGCCUUGACAUGCUAGAAACUUUCCAGAGAUGGAUUGGUGCCUUCGGGAAUCUAGAUACAGGUGCUGCAUGGCUGUCGUCAGCUCGUGUCGUGAGAUGUUGGGUUAAGUCCCGCAACGAGCGCAACCCUUUUCCUUACUUGCCAGCAUUUCGGAUGGGAACUUUAAGGAUACUGCCAGUGACAAACUGGAGGAAGGCGGGGACGACGUCAAGUCAUCAUGGCCCUUACGGCCAGGGCUACACACGUGCUACAAUGGUCGGUACAAAGGGUUGCUACACAGCGAUGUGAUGCUAAUCUCAAAAAGCCGAUCGUAGUCCGGAUUGGAGUCUGCAACUCGACUCCAUGAAGUCGGAAUCGCUAGUAAUCGCGGAUCAGAAUGCCGCGGUGAAUACGUUCCCGGGCCUUGUACACACCGCCCGUCACACCAUGGGAGCUUGUUGCACCAGAAGUAGCUAGCCUAACUGCAAAGAGGGCGGUUACCACGGUGUGGCCGAUGACUGGGGUGAAGUCGUAACAAGGUAGCC
RNAcentral lists this ribosomal RNA (1498 nucleotides) under uncultured bacterium. RNAcentral describes it as "bacterial SSU rRNA". It matches the Rfam family "Bacterial small subunit ribosomal RNA". The record is from RNAcentral.